GGGGAAUAUUGCACAAUGGGCGCAAGCCUGAUGCAGCCAUGCCGCGUGUAUGAAGAAGGCCUUCGGGUUGUAAAGUACUUUCAGCAGUGAGGAAGGUGGGUAUGUUAAUAGCAUACUCAUUUGACGUUAGCUGCAGAAGAAGCACCGGCUAACUCCGUGCCAGCAGCCGCGGUAAUACGGAGGGUGCGAGCGUUAAUCGGAAUUACUGGGCGUAAAGCGCAUGCAGGUGGUUGUUAAGUCAGAUGUGAAAGCCCGGGGCUCAACCUCGGAAUUGCAUUUGAAACUGGCAAACUAGAGUACUGUAGAGGGGGUAGAAUUUCAGGUGUAGCGGUGAAAUGCGUAGAGAUCUGAAGGAAUACCGGUGGCGAAGGCGGCCCCCUGGACAGAUACUGACACUCAGAUGCGAAAGCGUGGGGAGCAAACAGGAUUAGAUACCCUGGUCG
Molecule: ribosomal RNA, 443 nt
Filed under: uncultured bacterium
Lineage: Bacteria
Description: bacterial SSU rRNA
Rfam family: Bacterial small subunit ribosomal RNA
Source: RNAcentral